Molecule: ribosomal RNA, 558 nt
Filed under: uncultured Actinomycetes bacterium
Lineage: Bacteria; Bacillati; Actinomycetota; Actinomycetes
Description: bacterial SSU rRNA
Rfam family: Bacterial small subunit ribosomal RNA
Source: RNAcentral
GCAUCCUCGAUUGUCUAAAGAUUUAUCACUUCAAAAUGGUCUUGCGGCCUAUCAGCUAGUUGGUGAGGUGACGGCUUACCAAGGCGACGACGGGUAGCUGGUCUGAGAGGACGAUCAACCCGAGUGGGACUGAGAUAAGGCCCAGACUCCUACCGGGGGCAGCAAUUAAGAAUCGUGAUUAAUGUGCGAUCGCCUGAUGCAGCGACUCCGCGUGAAGGAUGAGGGUUCUGGGAUCGUACACUUCUUUUAAGUGGGAAGAAAUUUGACGGUACCACUUGAAUAAGCCCCGGCUAACUACGUGCCAGCAGCCGCGGUAAUACGUAGGGGGCGAGCGUUGUCCGAAGUUACUGGGCGUAAAGCGCGCGUAGGCGGUUUCUUAAGUCUGGGGUGAAAGGUUCAACGCUCAACGUGAACAGUGCCUUGGAUACUGGGAGACUUGAGUUAGGGAGAGGGUAGUGGAAUUCCUGGUGUAGCGGUGAAAUGCGUAGAUAUCAGGAGGAACACCAAUGGCGAAGGCAGCUACCUGGCCUAUAACUGACGCUGAGGUGCGAAAGCGUG